AUCCAUUUGACGAGUCCCAAAUAGGACGAAACUCGCGUCCUGGAU
Molecule: non-coding RNA, 45 nt
Filed under: Schistosoma mattheei
Lineage: Eukaryota; Metazoa; Platyhelminthes; Trematoda; Strigeidida; Schistosomatidae
Source: RNAcentral